AGCAGCCGCGGUAAUUCCAGCUCCAAUAGCGUAUAUUAAAGUUGUUGCAGUUAAAAAGCUCGUAGUCGAAUUUCGAGAUCAAAUUGUUGGUCGUGCCUCGGUACGUACUGGCAUUAUUGAUUUCUCCCUUCUGAAGAACCGCGAUGUCAUUAAUUUGGUGUCGUGGGGAAUCAGGACCGUUACUUUGAAAAAAUUAGAGUGUUUAAAGCAGGCUCACGCUUGAAUACAUUAGCAUGGAAUAAUGAAAUAGGACGUUUGAUUCUAUUUUGUUGGUUUCUAGGAUCGACGUAAUGAUUAAUAGGGAUAGUUGGGGGCAUUAGUAUUCAAUUGUCAGAGGUGAAAUUCUUGGAUUUAUUGAAGACUAACUACUGCGAAAGCAUUUGCCAAGGAUGUUUUCAUUAAUCAAGAACGAAAGUUAGGGGAUCGAAGACGAUCAGAUACCGUCGUAGU
RNAcentral lists this ribosomal RNA (450 nucleotides) under uncultured Glomeromycotina. Its description in RNAcentral is "SSU rRNA". It matches the Rfam family "Eukaryotic small subunit ribosomal RNA", at positions 569 to 1024 of the family's 1831-position model. Lineage: Eukaryota; Fungi; Glomeromycota. The record is from RNAcentral.